Molecule: ribosomal RNA, 494 nt
Filed under: uncultured bacterium
Lineage: Bacteria
Description: partial 16S ribosomal RNA
Rfam family: Bacterial small subunit ribosomal RNA
Source: RNAcentral
GACGAACGCUGGCGGCGUGCUUAACACAUGCAAGUCGAACGGAAAGGCCUGCUUUCCCUUGUGGAUUGCGGGUACUCGAGUGGCGAACGGGUGAGUAACACGUGAGUGAUCUGCCCCCAACUUGGGUAUAAGCCUGGGAAACUGGGUCUAAUUCCCGAUAGGACUGCAGGGUGGUGCCUGUGGUGGAAAACGAUUUUCUAGUGGUUGGGGAUGAGCUCGCGGCCUAUCAGCUUGUUGGUGGGGUAAUGGCCUACCAAGGCGGCGACGGGUAGCCGGCCUGAGAGGGUGGACGGCCACAUUGGGACUGAGAUACGGCCCAGACUCCGACGGGAGGCAGCAGUGGGGAAUAGUGGCCAAUGGGCGGAAGCCUGAUGCAGCGACGCCGGGUGGGGGAUGACGGCCUUCGGGUUGUAAACUCCUUUCGACCGCGAGGAAGCCACCUGGUUGGAAGGGUGGUGACGGUAGUGGUAGAAGAAGCACCGGCUAACUACGUG